AAAAAGACAAACCCUGGGUUUCCGUGUUCAACUUUGAUCGUCCGUCUUAUAUGAAAUUUUUUUAUAAUUCGUAUUUUUAUUGUUGUUAGAUAAUAAAACAUGAUUAAUAUUUUAUGCGUGACUUGUCUUUUUAAUUUUUUUAAAUAAGACGAACGGUCAAACGUUAGGCACGGAAACCAGGGUUUAUCUUUUU
This 193-nucleotide microRNA precursor is filed under the name Oryza sativa Indica Group (long-grained rice). Its description in RNAcentral is "MIR812 microRNA precursor family". It matches the Rfam family "MIR812 microRNA precursor family". Lineage: Eukaryota; Viridiplantae; Streptophyta; Magnoliopsida; Poales; Poaceae. The record is from Rfam by way of RNAcentral.